UAUAACUUGAUGAAAAAGUUGUUAAAGUUAUCGUAGAAACAAAAUAAACAUGGUUUGGUUUUUAUUACAAAGAGCUGGCAUUAUACAAUUCACAAAUAUUAAACACUCUAUCAAUGAGAAUCCUUUUUUUUAAUUUAUUCCCCUUUCCUUGUGAAAACAGGCCAGAUCACGAAAUACAGGGGGAUUGCCAGGUCAGGCCUAGCAUCCUGAAAAUCUUUUCUGGAAAUGCCACACCCAGGAUGCAAACCUGGGUCCUCCUACAUGGUACGCCAACACGUUACCACUCAACAAUCUGGCCAUUGAGAAUCAUUUGGAACAAAUUUUAAUUUUAUUACAAUCAUGGAAAGAGAUAUGCAUUUUUAAAUAAAAUAUCUUUACAUACAUAAUCCGUAUUAUAGCCCAUGUAGCUCAUAUAACACUGAUGCAUACAACACAGAACACAUUUCAAGUAUUAUACAGAGACCAUCAGUAUAGUAUUUAAUAUAAAAAUACUACAAAUUUUGACAUCAGUCUUUCUGCUUUUUAUUAGAGAACUAAUAUUUAUCUGUAUAAAGGAG
Molecule: long non-coding RNA, 557 nt
Filed under: Androctonus crassicauda
Lineage: Eukaryota; Metazoa; Arthropoda; Arachnida; Scorpiones; Buthidae
Source: RNAcentral